Molecule: long non-coding RNA, 3059 nt
Filed under: Daphnia pulex (common water flea)
Lineage: Eukaryota; Metazoa; Arthropoda; Branchiopoda; Diplostraca; Daphniidae
Description: uncharacterized LOC124196967, transcript variant X4
Source: RNAcentral
GUUUACUGCAACUAGAAGCGUCAGCGGCUAAAUUGCCAUCACUAGAAAUCUUAGACAAAGGGAGGGAGAGCUUCAUUCGAAGAUGACGCGGAGGUGUUGGCCAUUCAGCGGAUUUGGCGUCGAGUAGGAGUCGCGAAUAGAAAUGGUGAACCAAAUGAACAAUAAAAAGAAAGGAUGGGACGGUUGGAUUCGUCAGGAGUUUAUAGGCCAUCAUCAUCACGGAGCAAAGCGGUUGACCACAAAUGGUAGUACUUCAGUUUAGGCAUAGGUAUCAGAUUGUUUAUUUAGGAACGCUGUCGUGGGCUCCACGAAAAUGUCAGUUGCUGUUUGGGUCGUUGACAGGUAAUUCUUAAAUCGCGUGAAUAUGGCCUCGUGUUUAGGUAUCCUGCAAGAGCUUUGCAUUUCCAUGAAUUAUUUCCAGAUGAUGGAUGCCAAGUGAACAGGACUAUUGGUAGAUUUCGCUUCAAAGCCAAUAGCUAACAUUGUACUAGUAGUUCUGUGUAAUAGAUCAGCAAGCGUAGGAAAGUUGGUAAGAGAAUAGACAGGUGCAAUUUUUCAGGUCUACUCUCACGAAUCGUGUAAUUGAGUCAAUCGAAUUACUUUACCUAGAGCUCUUCAGUAUUGCCCAACUUGUUUUUUUUAUUCCCAAUCAGAAGAUUUAACAGAAAUUACACAAUUACACCUUCAUGUGCGAUGUAAUGAAAAGUUCCAACUAGGUAGUCAACGUUCGACCGAUGCUAGGAGCGACAGCCACUAGCCAAAUAAAUCAAAAAUUCAGAAUAACGCGAGUUAAUUUUUAUGGAGAAUUGUUUGUCGUGCCAUUGAUCUGUUUUCGCAAAUUUUCAACUGUAGUUGUAACAUUGGCCAACUGCUUUUUGAUGAUUCCAAUCUCGGUGUGCGCCCGAGCCAAAUCGACUUUCGCGUCUGUAAAGAGUUGAGAUCGCGAUUUAUCUGCUGCAUUUCGGGUUAAAUUUGUUGUUUAUUUGCUUCUUACCCAACAUCGCCCCCACGAAUGCUGUCCAGAGAGAUCCUAACGUGUUUAAUGUAAUCUGAACGUCUUGGACAGAAAACUGCCUCUGAUUGCUCAUGAUUUGAAUGAUUUCCGAGAUCGUCUGGGGUUGGGCCUCCUCCUUUACGGAGGAAGGAUUACCUUUGUUCAAACCGGUCGGUAGCUGAGCAGAGGCCAACAAAACGUAGGCCAUCAAAGGCACAAAGACUACAAUAAUCUAAAUGUUUGGUUCAGUAAGAAAUACAGGUGGAACAGCACUGACGCGUACGAACAGUUAACUUGUAACAAUCUAAAUUGACUUACCGAGUGCUCCAUGGUUUGUUGAUUGACGAGGAUUGAUGAACAACUGAGGAGAUGGUCUUCUUUAUAUAGUGCGGGUUAUGCCAUGGUUUAUUCGAUAAUUAAAAUCAGCUGGAAGACAGGUUACGCAAAUGUGUCACGACACAUGCAAUAUUCCAUUUACGUGCUAUCUGAACGAACUGAUGAAAUUGUCCAUUUAAAAACUCGCAAAUUGAUCCACACGCAAUUUGCUUUAAAUGGAAGGAAAUUUUUAUCAAUUCAGAAUUAAAUUUAAGUUUUAAUUUAAUUGAUGUCUUUUAAUUGAUUUUCCUUUUAGGUACGAUUGAAGUUAAGCCGUGGCAAUGUUUUCGAUGUGCGAUUUGGUCACCGUUUUUGCGUCAUCUUUUUAAAUCGACGCAAGUGCUGCAGGCGCUGGGUUUCGUAAAUUCAAAUUCAAUUAUCCAAUCGUCUCUUGAAAUCCAAUCGUUGCAAUUGAAAUGGACUAAGCUACCGGGUCUCGUGCUCCGUCAGGCACAUUUUUUUCUUCUGUGGUGUAUUCUGGAUAGAAAAUCAAGUUGCAGGAAUAUGAAAUUGAACGCAAUUAAAUCGUUGAAUUUUGUUUUCUUUACGAGUUUGAAAUUCGCGCUGUAGUUGUGACAGGAUGUCAGACUGCCAGACUUCCCUCAGUUUCAAAGUGAAUUUGAGUUUGUUUUGAAAUCAGUGCCAAAGUGGGACCACCGUCAGCGGCUGCAGCCGCGCUAGUGAUCACGCAAUGACGCGAGUGGUUUUAUUUUUCAAGUGAUCCAAUCUAACUUUUUGUUAUUUCCUUUAUAGCUUUGCCGCUCUUCGUUCUUUCCCGUAAGGUUACUGCAACUACAAGCGUCAGCGGCCAAAUUACCAUCGCCUGAAAUCUUGGACAAAGGGAGGGAGAGCUUCAUUCGAAGUGUCAAGUCCAGCACCGUUCUAAUAGCCAGAAAGUUACGACUAAGUGCAACAUUCUUCAAAGUACAGCAGUUGCUUUGUGCAAAGCGUGAAUCUUGUCUUGUCUUUUGAGAACACAGCACAUGGUCACAUUUAGCUAUCAAUCAAAGGCACUUGCUACCGGAAUUCUCCACAAACGGAAUUGUCAGCCCGGUUAAAUGGAAGCUGUUUGGCUGUUUGCUGUUUUAUGCAGAUCAUUUUUACUUGCCACCUUGCUAACUGCAUAAAUUGGGAAAGCUGCCUUAUUUGCACAUUUACAGCAGCUUGUUAGUUGUUUUUGCUUUAUGUCUGAUUUGUUCAUAGUUUUUCCCACUGUUUGUUUGUUUGAGGUAUGACUAAAAUCGCCUGUGGUGUCGCAGUCCGAUGUGCUGAUGUUGAUGCCUGCCUAUUCCCUGGUUUAAGAAGUACUUAGACAAAAUCGAUUUUACGAUGGUGGUUAUCUUUCCGUUUUUGUUUCGUGUUCUCAUUAAGUGUGUUCUCUAUGUGUCGCUAUGCAAGUGAUUUGAGCAAGAUGUUUGUUUUGUUUGUUACAUUCGCGUCUUCUCGGUAGAAUUUAUUAUGGGUUAGUUCAAAUGAGAAUGGAAAAUUAUUGCGACAUGUUAAUAUGAGACAAGUUCGUAUGAAGCACUUAUCUAUAUGAUAAUGGGUGUAAUAAACUAAGUUACGCUUAAAAAAUUACUUGAUCUUGCGCGUAAUAACCUAGAAUAUGUGGUAGGUGGGAAACUGGGAAUGUGAGAUAAAAUUACAUGUUAAUGGUAAGAAACCAUUUGAGCAUUUUGAUGUAUGUAAU